UUUACAAUUCAGCAUGCACCUCCAUUGGGUCCUCCUUUAGGUUCAACUGCACGUACGAUGAGACCUCUGCUUCUGGUAUAUUCGGUGGCCUUGUGUGGCCUGCUGGUGUCAGGCAAUGCGCUGCCACCUGCAGGUGAACCAAGUGCGAACCCUCCAGAUCAGACGGAGUCAUUUGGAAUGCAAGACACUCAAGUUCCUGUUGGAUUGAUCGGCCAGCCAAAUGGACCAAACAAAGCUGAAGAAGCACGCUGUCCAUCGGAAACCGGCUCGCCAGUAAGCGAUGGGAGGAGCGGCGAUUCUGAGAACAAGGAACAAGGCCAGAAGGAGAAGAGUGAAAAUUUAGUGAGAACGAUAACGGGAAGGGGCCCCUUUCCUCUGAGGAAAGAGUUGGAAGUAUGCAAGCGAAAUAGCACCAAACCUGGCGUAUCCCCUCCUAGACAAGGGAAGGCAGAUGGUACUUAUGAAGUGAUCUUCCGCUAUCAGCAAUCUUAAUUCAUAUCGAAAAUCCCCAGUUUCAUGAACUGGGCUUGCUUUUUAAACUGUAACCAGGCGUAGUACGUUUUCCAGCGAUGCUACACAGCGUAUUCACUAUUCUUAUGAAAAUGCAGAAAAUUAUUAAAUUUGCGCUGCUAUUACCUGCCCUAUCUUAGCGCCAGGGAACAUGCAAUAACCUGUACUCAAACUAAUACAAAAUAUGCGAAGCAUGACUGCCUCGGUUUUACUUGUCUAUGCUCUGACAGUUACCGCCACUUUCGGAAAGCGGUGGAGCAAUAUAUAGAUAUAAUUUUGUUUCCAAUGAAGUAGCAGGAGCAACUUAAUCUCAAGGCCUUGGUAUAAAGGAAGGACGCAUCGCUUGCAGCUGAGCAAGACGUCGCUAGUAGAUUCAUAGUCUCGGCGGCUUCACUUUAGUGGGGAGCACUACAGUAACAGCUGGCUCACUUAAUUUUAGUGCGCGGUUUUAAAUGAGAGGCGUAGGGGGGCCUCAGGUAAAAAUCGUCUUGCGCUCUCAACUACUUUGUAUGUGGACAACUGCCAGAUGCUUUGAGACUUAUUUCCAAAUUUAAAUGCAAUAGAAGUUUGUUCCAAAAUUCAAGUUUCCUUGCUGUCCCACUUGAAAAACACAACAGGAAAUUUUCAGUCUGUCGUAUUUUGGGACGUUCUUUCUGUCAUUCUGUUGUCUGUCCUUCUGUCGCUUGUAGUUCUGCUGUCUUACGUUGUGUUGUCUGUAGAGUGACGUCCUGCAGUCGAAAGUUCUGUAGUUCCUGAUCAAUAUUUAAUUAAUAAUUGACAGACACCUCUUUAAGGAUUUGUAAAUUUAUUAGUAAAAAAGGAAAUAUAUAAAAGUAAAAGAAACUUGCCCA
This is a long non-coding RNA of Dermacentor albipictus, 1361 nucleotides long. RefSeq lists it as uncharacterized. The record is from RefSeq and is a predicted model, not a curated record. Lineage: Eukaryota; Metazoa; Arthropoda; Arachnida; Ixodida; Ixodidae.